This is a long non-coding RNA of Oncorhynchus kisutch (coho salmon), 762 nucleotides long. RefSeq lists it as uncharacterized. The transcript is spliced from 2 exons. The record is from RefSeq and is a predicted model, not a curated record. NCBI's taxonomy places the organism in Eukaryota, Metazoa, Chordata, Actinopteri, Salmoniformes, Salmonidae.
AAUGUCAGGAAUUGUGAAAAAUAGAGUUGAAAUGUAUUUGGCUAAGGUGUAUGUAAACUUCCGACUUCAACUGUAUAUACACACAGAAAACACAGACAGCACGCGCCGCACUGCUACAAGCCUCAUCUAACACAUAUGGCACAGACAGCACACUCCGCUUGUCACACACUUACCACUACCCACAAACCCCCUCUGUUCACUCAUCUAAUCCGACCCAUCCUCUUCCAAACCUACUAAGUGUCUCAACGUGCCAAAAUGGUCCAGAACUCUUUGCAGACGCAGGACACUAUUUGACUAUGAAAGUUGUAGAGGUCCAGGAUUGAUAAUGACCUGAGGACUCACUGAAGACAAACUGUGAGGAGGAAACACGAUGGGACUAUUAGACUAUGAAAGUUGUAGAGGUCCAGGAUUGAUAAUGACCUGAGGACUCACUGAAGACAAACUGUGAGGAGGAAACACGAUGGGACUAUUAGACUAUGAAAGUUGUAGAGGUCCAGGAUUGAUAAUGACCUGAGGACUCACUGAAGACAAACUGUGAGGAGGAAACACGAUGGGACUAUUAGACUAUGAAAGUUGUAGAGGUCCAGGAUUGAUAAUGACCUGAGGACUCACUGAAGACAAACUGUGAGGAGGAAACACGAUGGGACUAUUAGACUGUUAGUACUGUAAUGUAAUAUCUAUAGGCUCGGAUGGACCUCAACAUGGAAAAAUGAUGAUGAUGUUACCCUUUUUCAAUCUUGUGAAUAAAUAAUUUAUACCACC